This 233-nucleotide ribosomal RNA is filed under the name uncultured bacterium. RNAcentral's name for it is "partial 16S ribosomal RNA". It matches the Rfam family "Bacterial small subunit ribosomal RNA", at positions 524 to 755 of the family's 1533-position model. The record is from RNAcentral.
UACGGAGGGUGCAAGCGUUAUCCGGAUUUACUGGGUUUAAAGGGUGUGUAGGCGGACUUUUAAGUCAGCGGUGAAAUCUCCGGGCUCAACCCGGAAACUGCCAUUGAUACUAUUAGUCUUGAAUCUUGUUGAGGUAGGCGGAACGGGUCAUGUAGCGGUGAAAUGCAUAGAUAUGACCCGGAACACCGAUUGCGAAGGCAGCCUACUAAGCAAAGUAUUGACGCUGAGGCACG